GCGAGGGAUGUACUGCACAGUGCCAUCAGCCGCAUUGUGCGCAGGAGCAGUUUGCGGCAGGCUUUACUGGGAGGCGUGACAGCAGGUGCCGCAAAAGGCUUUGCUUAUUUGUUGGCAAAGGCAAGAAAACGAUGGAAGAGCUGAACAGUGGAUGGGGCACCAACAUGUUAAAUCUAUGUCAGACUUCGGAAUUUGCGCUCAGCACAGGCUGUAUCACUAAUGCGA
RNAcentral lists this long non-coding RNA (225 nucleotides) under Coccomyxa subellipsoidea. Its description in RNAcentral is "long non-coding RNA (CSUB_LNC000187)". The record is from RNAcentral. Lineage: Eukaryota; Viridiplantae; Chlorophyta; Trebouxiophyceae; Coccomyxaceae.